This 1080-nucleotide ribosomal RNA is filed under the name Arthrobacter sp. 31Cvi3.1E. RNAcentral's name for it is "bacterial SSU rRNA". It matches the Rfam family "Bacterial small subunit ribosomal RNA", at positions 302 to 1393 of the family's 1533-position model. The record is from RNAcentral. Lineage: Bacteria; Bacillati; Actinomycetota; Actinomycetes; Micrococcales; Micrococcaceae.
GACCGGCCACACUGGGACUGAGACACGGCCCAGACUCCUACGGGAGGCAGCAGUGGGGAAUAUUGCACAAUGGGCGCAAGCCUGAUGCAGCGACGCCGCGUGAGGGAUGACGGCCUUCGGGUUGUAAACCUCUUUCAGUAGGGAAGAAGCGUAAGUGACGGUACCUGCAGAAGAAGCGCCGGCUAACUACGUGCCAGCAGCCGCGGUAAUACGUAGGGCGCAAGCGUUAUCCGGAAUUAUUGGGCGUAAAGAGCUCGUAGGCGGUUUGUCGCGUCUGCUGUGAAAGACCGGGGCUCAACUCCGGUUCUGCAGUGGGUACGGGCAGACUAGAGUGCAGUAGGGGAGACUGGAAUUCCUGGUGUAGCGGUGAAAUGCGCAGAUAUCAGGAGGAACACCGAUGGCGAAGGCAGGUCUCUGGGCUGUAACUGACGCUGAGGAGCGAAAGCAUGGGGAGCGAACAGGAUUAGAUACCCUGGUAGUCCAUGCCGUAAACGUUGGGCACUAGGUGUGGGGGACAUUCCACGUUUUCCGCGCCGUAGCUAACGCAUUAAGUGCCCCGCCUGGGGAGUACGGCCGCAAGGCUAAAACUCAAAGGAAUUGACGGGGGCCCGCACAAGCGGCGGAGCAUGCGGAUUAAUUCGAUGCAACGCGAAGAACCUUACCAAGGCUUGACAUGAACCGGAAAGACCUGGAAACAGGUGCCCCGCUUGCGGUCGGUUUACAGGUGGUGCAUGGUUGUCGUCAGCUCGUGUCGUGAGAUGUUGGGUUAAGUCCCGCAACGAGCGCAACCCUCGUUCUAUGUUGCCAGCGGUUCGGCCGGGGACUCAUAGGAGACUGCCGGGGUCAACUCGGAGGAAGGUGGGGACGACGUCAAAUCAUCAUGCCCCUUAUGUCUUGGGCUUCACGCAUGCUACAAUGGCCGGUACAAAGGGUUGCGAUACUGUGAGGUGGAGCUAAUCCCAAAAAGCCGGUCUCAGUUCGGAUUGGGGUCUGCAACUCGACCCCAUGAAGUCGGAGUCGCUAGUAAUCGCAGAUCAGCAACGCUGCGGUGAAUACGUUCCCGGGCCUUGUACACACCGC